This 495-nucleotide ribosomal RNA is filed under the name uncultured bacterium. RNAcentral describes it as "partial 16S ribosomal RNA". It matches the Rfam family "Bacterial small subunit ribosomal RNA", at positions 28 to 507 of the family's 1533-position model. The record is from RNAcentral.
GACGAACGCUGGCGGCGUGCCUAAUACAUGCCAGUCGAACGCUGAAGGAGGGGCUUUCUCUUCUGUAUGAGUUGCGAACGGGUGAGUAACGCGUAGGUAACCUGCCUGGUAGCGGGGGAUAACUAUUGGAAACGAUAGCUAAUACCGCAUAACAGUAGAUGUUGCAUGACAUUUACUUAAAAGGUGCAAUUGCAUCACUACCAGAUGGACCUGCGUUGUAUUAGCUAGUUGGUGGGGUAACGGCUCACCAAGGCGACGAUACAUAGCCGACCUGAGAGGGUGAUCGGCCACACUGGGACUGAGACACGGCCCAGACUCCUACGGGAGGCAGCAGUAGGGAAUCUUCGGCAAUGGACGGAAGUCUGACCGAGCAACGCCGCGUGAGUGAAGACGGUCUUCGGAUUGUAAAGCUCUGUUGUAAGGGAAGAACGAGUGUGAGACUGAAAAGUUCACACUGUGACGGUACCUUACCAGAAAGGGACGGCUAACUACGUG